CCCAAGUGUCUCAGUGAUACCCGGGUCUCUCAGUGUACGCAUGCCUCACUGUGUCCCCUAGUAUCCUGAGACAAGGAGACACUGAGAGAAAUGGGAACACUGAGACACUGGGAGACUGGGCGACAUGGGGACAGUGACACUGUGAUACAUAGGGACACUGAGAGACUGGGUGACUUGCGAGACAGACACAAGGUGAGACAGGGAGACACUGGGAGCAAUCCAUCUAUACAGCAGAAUCAAACUGUAAGUAGUUUGUGAUUUUACAGAAUUUUCUCUGAUGUCACUCCUUGUGAUUUACAUCAUGUGAUGUCACGCAUAACUAAUUAAUUAUACAAAUUAAUAAGGCUGGUAUUUUUUUACAAGAAAGGUGGCAACCCUAACUAUUCUUCACAUACUCUUGCUUAAAGGAACACUAUAGGGUCAGGAACACAAUCAUGUAUUUCUG
Pelobates cultripes (western spadefoot toad) is the source of this 445-nucleotide non-coding RNA. Lineage: Eukaryota; Metazoa; Chordata; Amphibia; Anura; Pelobatidae. The record is from the annotation of a GenBank genome assembly.